Molecule: ribosomal RNA, 433 nt
Filed under: uncultured bacterium
Lineage: Bacteria
Description: partial 16S ribosomal RNA
Rfam family: Bacterial small subunit ribosomal RNA
Source: RNAcentral
AGCGAACGCUGGCGGCAGGCUUAACACAUGCAAGUCGAACGGGCACUUCGGUGCUAGUGGCAGACGGGUGAGUAACACGUGGGAACGUACCUUUCGGUUCGGAAUAAUACAGGGAAACUUGUACUAAUACCGGAUACGCCCUUUGGGGGAAAGAUUUAUCGCCGAUUGAUCGGCCCGCGUCUGAUUAGCUAGUUGGUGGGGUAAUGGCUCACCAAGGCGACGAUCAGUAGCUGGUCUGAGAGGAUGAUCAGCCACACUGGGACUGAGACACGGCCCAGACUCCUACGGGAGGCAGCAGUGGGGAAUAUUGGACAAUGGGCGCAAGCCUGAUCCAGCCAUGCCGCGUGAGUGAUGAAGGCCUUAGGGUUGUAAAGCUCUUUUGUCCGGGAAGAUAAUGACUGUACCGGAAGAAUAAGCCCCGGCUAACUUCGUG